CGAGCACGCGCGUGUGGCAUAUCAAUAAGCGGAGGAAAAGAAACUAACAAGGAUUCCCUUAGUAACGGCGAGUGAAGCGGGAAGAGCUCAAAUUUGAAAUCUUCAAGGUUCUACCUUGACGAAUUGUAGUUUAUAGAAGUGUUUUCUGUUAGUAGAGUGGCAAAAGUCCUUUGGAAUAGGACAUCAUAGAGGGUGAGAAUCCCGUAUUUGGUCAUUCUUUCUAGCUUUGUGAUACACUUUCAACGAGUCGGAUUGUUUGGGAAUGCAGUCCAAAAUGGGUGGUAAAUUUCAUCUAAAGCUAAAUAUUGGCGAGAGACCGAUAGCGAACAAGUACCGUGAGGGAAAGAUGAAAAGAACUUUGAAAAGAGAGUUAAACAGUACGUGUAAUUGUCAAAAGGGAAGCGUUUGACACCAGUGUUGUUUUUCCGAAAAUCAAUUACGAAUGUUUUAGUUUUUGAGGAGUUAUGACUUCAUCGGCUUGCUCCUUUCUUUAUGAAACCUUCUUAAUGCACUUUUCGGUUAACAAGUCAACAUCAAUUUCUUUUGUUGUAAAAGGGUAUGAGGAAGGUGGCUUUCUUUUCGGAGAAAGUGUUUAUAGCCUUGUACCUCUGCAAUCGGAGAGAUUGAGGUCUGCAGCGUAGAUCCUUCGGGGUUAGAUACGUUUGUGCUAAGUUAUAGCUUUUCAUAGACAACUUGUUGACUAUGUUAGUCUUGUAGCUUACUCGCUGAUGCUAUUUUACCUACGCUUAGGAUGUUGAGUAGCGACAUACGCAC
This 774-nucleotide ribosomal RNA is filed under the name uncultured Neocallimastigales. RNAcentral describes it as "partial large subunit ribosomal RNA". It matches the Rfam family "Eukaryotic large subunit ribosomal RNA", at positions 19 to 649 of the family's 3401-position model. The record is from RNAcentral. Lineage: Eukaryota; Fungi; Neocallimastigomycota; Neocallimastigomycetes; Neocallimastigales.